RNAcentral lists this ribosomal RNA (494 nucleotides) under uncultured bacterium. RNAcentral describes it as "bacterial SSU rRNA". It matches the Rfam family "Bacterial small subunit ribosomal RNA", at positions 28 to 521 of the family's 1533-position model. The record is from RNAcentral.
GAUGAACGCUAGCGGGAGGCUUAACACAUGCAAGUCGAGGGGUAAAUGGUAGCAAUACUAUGAGACCGGCGGACGGGUGCGUAACGCGUAUGCAACAUACCUUGUGCAGGGGGAUAGCCCGUGGAAACGCGGAUUAAUAUUCCAUAGUCCAGCUAUAUCGCAUGGUAUAGUUGGUAAAGAUUUAUCGGCACAAGUUUGGCAUGCGUCUGAUUAGCUUGUUGGUAGGGUAACGGCCUACCAAGGCUACGAUCAGUAGGGGUUCUGAGAGGAUUAACCCCCACACUGGUACUGAGACACGGACCAGACUCCUACGGGAGGCAGCAGUGAGGAAUAUUGGUCAAUGGGGCGGAAGCCUGAACCAGCCAUCCCGCGUGAAGGAAGACAGCCUUACGGGUUGUAAACUUCUUUUCUGUCAGAAGAAUAAGCUUGUCGAGACGAGUGAUGCCGGUAUGACAGGAAUAAGCAUCGGCUAACUCCGUGCCAGCAGCCGCGGU